RNAcentral lists this long non-coding RNA (1458 nucleotides) under Sarcophilus harrisii (Tasmanian devil). Its description in RNAcentral is "lncRNA (ENSSHAG00000026986.1)". The record is from RNAcentral. Lineage: Eukaryota; Metazoa; Chordata; Mammalia; Dasyuromorphia; Dasyuridae.
AGUGCUAGGAAGAGAUGGCCCACCCUAACGGGUCACAGUGGACAAACCCCUUUUAUAUAUCUGCUUGGGAAAAUCCCCCUAGGACAAAACUAAAUUACCACCAGGAACAACAGGAGGAUAUAGAAGACUCUCUAAUAGAAGGAGGAGGAGAAGAUAGAAAACUCACCACGUCAAUAGAGCUGUUCUUACCUGGGAGUUUAAAAGCAAAAAAAAAAUCUUCAAUCCCCUUCAAAGUUGUUCAGUACACACCAAAAGAAAAAACCAAGAUUCCCACUCAAGUGUCUGAGGUCUGAGAGAAGCUGAUGGAUCCGGUACAUGCCAAAAGAAAAAACCAAGAUUCCCACUCAAGUGUCUGAGGUCUGAGAGAAACUAAUGGAUCCAAAUAGUCAAAUGCCUGCCACCUGUCAAUAAAUCCUGAAAAUUACUCGUUGUCAGAUCCACUUUCUUGCACCUAAGAAGACUUUGCUCGUCACCUAGCUUGCAUGCUUGUGCACGGCCACCUUGGAUGGACAGUUGACUGGAAUCAUCCUCUUUCAAAAAACAGAGGGAGGGGUUCAUGCACCAUACACCAUGAUGAGACAUCAGAGUAAGAUUUUAUUGGUGGCUUUAUCAUUUGUGGUGGUUUGUUUGUUGAGAAUGAGACUGAAUGGAUUGAUUUCCUUUCUAUUGUUACAUGCCUUUAGGGUUUUUCCUUUUGUUGGAUUGAGAAGAUGAGGUUGGUCUAGGUAGACAUGAGAAAGUAGGGCAGAUUGAUUCCACAGUCUGGCCUUAAAAGUGAAAGGGGGCUGGGAUUAGUGAGAAAGGGCAAGCAGACCAAUUUGCUUUGUGAUGCGGCCUUUCAUGCCCCUCCCUCAACACCUAUUUGCUUCCCUUCCCCUCCCCACCUCCCCAUUCCUGGCUCCACCAUCAGGGAAAAAUCAAGAAAGAGUCAUCCUUGGAAGAGGUUGAAGUGAAGUGGCUUAGCUGGAAGUGAUGGGCUCCAGCUGUACCAAGCUAGGGGAGCAGGGCCAGAAAUAUGAGUCCCUGAAAAGGUGGUUGGCCUGUGUCACUGAGGACAACUUCUCUUUGUCAUCGGAAGAGGGAGAGAGGGAAGAAGAGCUUCCAAAACUCCAAGGAAAGCUUCUUCUGAUGGAGGAAGAGUCCUCCCCAAAGGAAUGUUAUCCUAUCAAAAAGGAAGAACAGACCUGCCCAAAAGUAUAGACAGCAGCCCAUUUUUCUCAGCCAUAAUCUGACUGACCACCAGAGCCACUGAAGAGAAAGAAAGAAUGGAUUUGUAAUGUAAGAACCAAGAAGAACCCCAUUCUGGAAAAAAAAAAAACACAACAAUAAAAAGGCUUCUCCAAGGAAUUUCAUUUCUCACCCCUCUGGUCCUACUUCUCGGUCUGGUUAGAGAGAGGUCCUUAGGGACUUGGGGAUCAGAAAUGAGCAGGUCAAGAAGAACAUUAAGACAUACCUGAU